AGACUGGUUAAUGAUAACAAUGCACCAUGAAAUCUUCAGAAGGAAAGAAGAAUGUUUGUGGAGCAUUUCAUUUUUCAUGUGUGUGGCAAUUUUAAAUUAUAAGUUUUUUAAUCAAU
This 116-nucleotide microRNA precursor is filed under the name Cavia porcellus (domestic guinea pig). RNAcentral describes it as "miRNA (ENSCPOG00000017325.3)". The record is from RNAcentral. Lineage: Eukaryota; Metazoa; Chordata; Mammalia; Rodentia; Caviidae.